RNAcentral lists this long non-coding RNA (253 nucleotides) under Bos taurus (domestic cattle). RNAcentral describes it as "long non-coding RNA NONBTAT023397". Lineage: Eukaryota; Metazoa; Chordata; Mammalia; Artiodactyla; Bovidae. The record is from RNAcentral.
UUGAAGCUGAGGGAAAUUGGACUGGCGCCAAUGGGAAUUUUAGGUAGAGCCCUUCCUAGUUUCUCUGGGCAAUGCUGGGCCCUGACAGAUGGCUGCUCUGCUUCCCUUUCCCUGGCCAGGCUCCCCUCCUCCCCAUCAGCUACAGAACUGGAGACACUGUUCAGAAUAUGAGCCAACGAAAAAGAAGGAACUUACAGACUGAAAAUGGGUUUUGCCCUCCACUACCUUUGCUCCCCACUUCUGACUCUUGUCU